UACGGAGGAUCCGAGCGUUAUCCGGAUUUAUUGGGUUUAAAGGGUGCGCAGGUUGUUUGAUAAGUCAGUGGUGAAAGUCUGUCGCUUAACGGUAGGAUUGCCAUUGAUACUGUUGGACUUGAAUAUGGAUGAGGUAGGCGGAAUGUGUAGUGUAGCAGUGAAAUGCAUAGAUAUUACACAGAACACCGAUUGCGAAGGCAGCUUACUAAUCCAUCAUUGACGCUGAGGCACGAAAGCGUGGGGAUCAAACA
Molecule: ribosomal RNA, 251 nt
Filed under: uncultured prokaryote
Description: partial 16S ribosomal RNA
Rfam family: Bacterial small subunit ribosomal RNA
Source: RNAcentral